UACGUAGGGAGCAAGCGUUAUCCGGAUUUAUUGGGUGUAAAGAGUGCGUAGACGGAAGAACAAGUUGUUUGUGAAAUCCCUUGGCUCAACUGAGGAACUGCAAGCAAAACUAUUCUCCUUGAGUACUAGAGAGGAAAGUGGAAUUCCUAGUGUAGCGGUGAAAUGCGUAGAUAUUAGGAGGAACACCAGUGGCGAAGGCGACUUUCUGGCUAGAAACUGACGUUGAGGCACGAAAGCGUGGGGAGCAAAC
RNAcentral lists this ribosomal RNA (250 nucleotides) under uncultured prokaryote. RNAcentral's name for it is "partial 16S ribosomal RNA". It matches the Rfam family "Bacterial small subunit ribosomal RNA", at positions 524 to 773 of the family's 1533-position model. The record is from RNAcentral.